This 350-nucleotide ribosomal RNA is filed under the name uncultured bacterium. Its description in RNAcentral is "bacterial SSU rRNA". It matches the Rfam family "Bacterial small subunit ribosomal RNA", at positions 355 to 697 of the family's 1533-position model. The record is from RNAcentral.
UGGGGAAUAUUGGACAAUGGGCGAAAGCCUGAUCCAGCAAUGCCGCGUGUGCGAUGAAGGCCUUAGGGUUGUAAAGCACUUUCAGUUAUGAAGAAGGACCAUAGGUUAAUACCCUGUGGUUUUGACGUGAAUUUCAAAAGAAGCACCGGCUAACUCUGUGCCAGCAGCCGCGGUAAUACAGAGGGUGCGAGCGUUAAUCGGAAUUACUGGGCGUAAAGGGCAUGUAGGCGGAUGUCUAAGUCAAAUGUGAAAUCCUCGGGCUUAACCUGAGAAUGGCAUUUGAUACUGGGCGUCUAGAGUAUAGCAGAGGAAAGUGGAAUUUCCGGUGUAGCGGUGGAAUGCAUAGAUAU